This 251-nucleotide ribosomal RNA is filed under the name uncultured bacterium. Its description in RNAcentral is "partial 16S ribosomal RNA". It matches the Rfam family "Bacterial small subunit ribosomal RNA", at positions 524 to 775 of the family's 1533-position model. The record is from RNAcentral.
UACGAAGGGGGCUAGCGUUGCUCGGAAUCACUGGGCGUAAAGCGCACGUAGGCGGCUUGUUAAGUCAGGGGUGAAAUCCUGGAGCUCAACUCCAGAACUGCCUUUGAUACUGGCGAGCUUGAGUUCGGGAGAGGUGAGUGGAACUGCGAGUGUAGAGGUGAAAUUCGUAGAUAUCGCAAGAACACCAGUGGCGAAGGCGGCUCACUGGCCCGAUACUGACGCUGAGGCACGAAAGCGUGGGGAGCAACAGG